Molecule: long non-coding RNA, 339 nt
Organism: Strongylocentrotus purpuratus (purple sea urchin)
Lineage: Eukaryota; Metazoa; Echinodermata; Echinoidea; Camarodonta; Strongylocentrotidae
Exons: 3
Source: RefSeq, a predicted model, not a curated record
AACUCGGUCCAGCCCACUCUUCCAUCAUUGCUUCUGAAAACGUGACGUUCUUCACCAGACUCGGGUCAAUUGGACGGGGUGACUUCGGCGGGGUAUGGAAGGGAGAACUCCGCUCGAAUCAAAUCCAAGUAGACGUUGCUAUCAGGCAGAUUCCAGAUCAAGUGACCAAAUCAAAGAAUGUUCUUCGAGCUGUCAAGGUCCUUUCUGAGCUACCGGAUCAACCUAAUGUUGUCAAGUUCCUGGGAUAUUGUCAAGAACAAGGUAGCAUUCUGUAUGAGUUCAUCUCUGGGGGAACCCUACUCACCCAUCUACAGACCACAGGGGUGCAAUCCCAACCAA